GUCAGCAGCCAUAUCACCCUGCAACUCCCAACUGGUAACCCAUUAAAGCUAAGCAGGCGUGAGCCUGGUCAGUAUCUGGAUGAGAGACUUCCUGGGAAAGGUUGCUGCUGGAA
This 113-nucleotide ribosomal RNA is filed under the name Lepisosteus oculatus (spotted gar). The record is from RNAcentral. Lineage: Eukaryota; Metazoa; Chordata; Actinopteri; Semionotiformes; Lepisosteidae.